CUCAGUUGGUAGAGUGCUUGUCUUGCAUGCACAAGGCCCUGGGUUCUAUCCCCAGCACCACAAAAAACAAAGUCGGGCUGGGGAUGUGGUACAGUGGUUAAGCAACCCUGGGUUCAAUCCCUGGUACUGGGGGGGAAAAUGCAAUGUAAUUAAUUCCUAGCAAGGGACUAGAUAAAUACACAUGGCAUAAAAGGCACAAAAGACUCGAUUCCAAUGUCCUGAAGGAAGUCAGAAAAAAACAUUUUUCCUUUCAGUUUUAUUUCUCUAGGCUCUAGACACUCUGGCCCCACAUGUACUUUUUUUUUUUUUUAAAGAGAGAGAG
RNAcentral lists this long non-coding RNA (322 nucleotides) under Marmota monax (woodchuck). The stretch from base 1 to 63 matches the Rfam family "tRNA", at positions 11 to 71 of the family's 71-position model. Lineage: Eukaryota; Metazoa; Chordata; Mammalia; Rodentia; Sciuridae. The record is from RNAcentral.